UACGGAGGGUGCAAGCGUUAAUCGGAAUUACUGGGCGUAAAGCGCGCGCAGGCGGUCUUCCAAGUCAGUGGUGAAAGCCUGGAGCUCAACUCCAGAACUGCCAUUGAAACUGUUAGACUUGAGUACGAGAGAGGUGAGUGGAAUUCCCAGUGUAGAGGUGAAAUUCGUAGAUAUUGGGAAGAACACCAGUGGCGAAGGCGGCUCACUGGCUCGUAACUGACGCUGAGGCACGAAAGCGUGGGGAGCAAACAGG
RNAcentral lists this ribosomal RNA (253 nucleotides) under uncultured bacterium. Its description in RNAcentral is "partial 16S ribosomal RNA". It matches the Rfam family "Bacterial small subunit ribosomal RNA", at positions 524 to 776 of the family's 1533-position model. The record is from RNAcentral.